GGUAAUUCUAGGCUAGAUGCCAGCGUGGCGGUAGCAUGAAAUAAAAAGCUCUGAUUAUUG
Molecule: transfer RNA, 60 nt
Filed under: Pomphorhynchus laevis
Lineage: Eukaryota; Metazoa; Acanthocephala; Palaeacanthocephala; Echinorhynchida; Pomphorhynchidae
Also listed under: 1 other name
Description: tRNA-Arg
Source: RNAcentral